CCACGCGCCCGAGUUGUUGAAGGGUUCAUACCCAGAUCUCUCUUUUAAAACAGGCUCCCUGGCUGGAUGCGGUGGCUCCCACCUGUAAUCCCAGCACUUUGAGAGGCCAAAGCAGGUGGAUCAGUGGAGGUCUGGAGUUCGAGACCAGCCUGGCCAGCAUGGCGAAACCCCAUCUCUACCAAAACACAAAAAUUAGCCAGGCCUGGUGGCAGGGGCCUGUAAUCCCAGCUACUCAGGAGGCUAAGGCAGGAGAAUUGCUGAAACCCAGGAGGCAGAGGUUGCAGUGAGGAGAGAUCACACUCCAGCCUGGGCGACAGAGCAAGACUCUGUCUCAAAAAUUAAAUUUAAAAUAAAAUAAAAUAAAUAAAUAAUAAAAAAAUAAAAUGAAACAGGCUCUGAGGCAGCCCUCCCAGCCCUUCUCCCACCCUCCUGCAGGCGCGGCUGGAACCUGAACCCUCGCACAGAUCAGGGAAGGGCAGGGCCGCCAGGUGGAGCUGUGGCAAACGUGCCCUCCCAGCUUUCCACAUGCUGGGGUUUCAUAAACCAGGAGCGCCUCAGCGAAACUCCACGGGGAGGACACAGGGCUG
RNAcentral lists this long non-coding RNA (587 nucleotides) under Homo sapiens (human). RNAcentral's name for it is "HSALNT0262567". Lineage: Eukaryota; Metazoa; Chordata; Mammalia; Primates; Hominidae. The record is from RNAcentral.